AAUCUUCCGCAAUGGACGAAAGUCUGACGGAGCGAUGCCGCGUGAGUGAGGAAGGGUUUCGGAUCGUAAAACUCAGAUGUUCGGGAAGAAAAAGUAUGGGAGUAAUAUGUCGGUACUUUUAUGGUACUUAACAAGAAAGCCCCGGCUAAAUAAGUGCCAGCAGCCGCUGUAAUACGUAGGGGGCAAGCGUUGUCCGGAGUUAUUGGGCGGAAAGGGCACGCAGGCGGUUAUUUAAGUCUGAUGUGAAAUCUUGUGGCUUCACCACAAGCGGUCAUUGGAAACAGGAUAACUUGAGUACAGAAGAGGAGGGUGGAAUUCCACGUGUAGCGGUGAAAUGCGUAGAGAUGUGGGGGAAAACCAGUGGCGAAGGCGGCUCUCUGGUCUGUAACUGGCGCUGAUGUGCGAAAGCGUGGGUAGCGAACA
This 423-nucleotide ribosomal RNA is filed under the name uncultured bacterium. RNAcentral describes it as "partial 16S ribosomal RNA". It matches the Rfam family "Bacterial small subunit ribosomal RNA", at positions 360 to 774 of the family's 1533-position model. The record is from RNAcentral.